UACAGAGGUCUCAAGCGUUGUUCGGAUUCAUUGGGCGUAAAGGGUGUGUAGGUGGCGCCGUAAGUCGGGUGUGAAAUUUCGGAGCUUAACUCCGAAACUGCAUUCGAUACUGCGGUGCUUGAGGACUGGAGAGGAGACUGGAAUUCAUGGUGUAGCGGUGGAAUGCGUAGAGAUCCGGAAGAACACCAGUGGCGAAGGCGGUUAGCUGGGCAGUUGCUGACACUGAUGCGCGACAGCGUGGGGAGCGAACAGG
RNAcentral lists this ribosomal RNA (253 nucleotides) under uncultured bacterium. RNAcentral's name for it is "partial 16S ribosomal RNA". It matches the Rfam family "Bacterial small subunit ribosomal RNA", at positions 524 to 776 of the family's 1533-position model. The record is from RNAcentral.